AUGCUAUUUUCCAGAUCUCAGCUGACCUGGACUUUAGGCUAUUAACGGAGAUUCCCAUAGACAGUAAAAUACAACAAACUUGCCACCGUGAAAAAGUCCAGAGAGUAUGCUUGUGGUGGGAACAAAGGAGCAGAGAGAAGAGGCUGGCGCCUCGGCGUGAUUAGACCGUCUCCUGGGGCCCGCCGCAACCACGCACACCUCCAGCAGAUGGCGCCACAAGGCAGCACAGCCGCAGGAACAGGAGACUUGGAGUCCAGGAAAGGCGAGUGUCCCA
This 274-nucleotide long non-coding RNA is filed under the name Equus caballus (horse). Its description in RNAcentral is "lncRNA (ENSECAG00000044389.1)". Lineage: Eukaryota; Metazoa; Chordata; Mammalia; Perissodactyla; Equidae. The record is from RNAcentral.